This 459-nucleotide RNase P RNA is filed under the name Nostoc sp. RF31YmG. RNAcentral's name for it is "Nostoc sp. RF31Y RNase P RNA component class A". It matches the Rfam family "Bacterial RNase P class A". Rfam says of the family: Ribonuclease P (RNase P) is a ubiquitous endoribonuclease, found in archaea, bacteria and eukarya as well as chloroplasts and mitochondria. Its best characterised activity is the generation of mature 5'-ends of tRNAs by cleaving the 5'-leader elements of precursor-tRNAs. Cellular RNase Ps are ribonucleoproteins. The record is from RNAcentral. Lineage: Bacteria; Bacillati; Cyanobacteriota; Cyanophyceae; Nostocales; Nostocaceae.
GAGAGUAGACGUAGGCGGUUGCAGAUCGGUCACAACAACUGGUUUGAGGAAAGUCCGGGCUCCCGAAAGACCAAACUUGCUGGAUAACGUCCAGUGCGAGCGAUCGUGAGGAUAGUGCCACAGAAAGAUACCGCCAAAGUUAGUGCUGAGCAAUGAGUAUCGAGUGCUGAGAAAAGAAAACUCAGAACUCAGAACUGAGAACUCAGGACUGUUUUGGUAAGGGUGCAAAGGUGCGGUAAGAGCGCACCAGCAGCGUCGAGAGGCGCUGGCUCGGUAAACCCCGGUUGGGAGCAAGGCGAAAGGAACUAUGGUUGGUCUUUUACCAGUUCCGCUAAAACAGAGCCGCUAGAGGCGUCUGGUAACAGGCGUCCCAGAUAGAUAACCGCCCUCAUGUAUGGAAGUUACAUGUAACAUCUCUACAUCAGAGAACAGAACCCGGCUUAUGAGCUGCUCUCUCUC